AACGAACGCUGGCGGCAUGCCUAACACAUGCAAGUCGAACGAGACCUUCGGGUCUAGUGGCGCACGGGUGCGUAACGCGUGGGAACCUGCCCUUAGGUUCGGAAUAACUCCCCGAAAGGGGUGCUAAUACCGGAUAAUGUCUUCGGACCAAAGAUUUAUCGCCUUUGGAUGGGCCCGCGUUGGAUUAGCUAGUUGGUAGGGUAAAAGCCUACCAAGGCGACGAUCCAUAGCUGGUCUGAGAGGAAGAUCAGCCACACUGGGACUGAGACACGGCCCAGACUCCUACGGGAGGCAGCAGUGGGGAAUAUUGGACAAUGGGCGAAAGCCUGAUCCAGCAAUGCCGCGUGAGUGAUGAAGGCCUGAGGGUUGUAAAGCUCUUUUACCCGGGAUGAUAAUGACAGUACCGGGAGAAUAAGCUCCGGCUAACUCCGUG
RNAcentral lists this ribosomal RNA (433 nucleotides) under uncultured bacterium. RNAcentral's name for it is "partial 16S ribosomal RNA". It matches the Rfam family "Bacterial small subunit ribosomal RNA", at positions 29 to 507 of the family's 1533-position model. The record is from RNAcentral.